CGUAGGGCGCAAGCGUUGUCCGGAAUUAUUGGGCGUAAAGAGCUCGUAGGCGGUUUGUUGCGUCCGUCGUGAAAGCCCACAGCUUAACUGUGGGUCUGCGGUGGAUACGGGCAGACUAGAGGCAGGUAGGGGAGAACGGAAUUCCCGGUGUAGCGGUGAAAUGCGCAGAUAUCGGGAGGAACACCGGUGGCGAAGGCGGUUCUCUGGGCCUGUACUGACGCUGAGGAGCGAAAGCGUGGGGAGCGAACAGGAUUAGAUACCCUGGUAGUCCACGCCGUAAACGUUGGGCGCUAGGUGUGGGGUUCUUCCACGGAUUCCGCGCCGUAGCUAACGCAUUAAGCGCCCCGCCUGGGGAGUACGGCCGCAAGGCUA
Molecule: ribosomal RNA, 372 nt
Filed under: uncultured organism
Description: bacterial SSU rRNA
Rfam family: Bacterial small subunit ribosomal RNA
Source: RNAcentral